CCCAGUUCGGAUUGUAGUCUGCAACCCGACUACAUGAAGCUGGAAUCGCUAGUAAUCGCGAAUCAGAAUGUCGCGGUGAAUACGUUCCCGGGUCUUGUACACACCGCCCGUCACACCAUGGGAGUCGGAAAUGCCCGAAGUCAGUGACCCAACCGUAAGGAGGGAGCUGCCGAAGGUGGGGCCGGUAACUGGGGUGAAGUCGUAACAAGGUACC
Molecule: ribosomal RNA, 214 nt
Filed under: uncultured bacterium
Lineage: Bacteria
Description: partial 16S ribosomal RNA
Rfam family: Bacterial small subunit ribosomal RNA
Source: RNAcentral